GCUUUAUAAAGCCCUGUGAGACACACAACAGUCCCCUCUGACAGAGGGUACACCUGGACUUUAUCAGCUGUCAGUCAGAAACACACCCCCCCUCCUCCAGCAUGAAGUUUGCUCUUUGUAAACUGACGCUCUGCUGACAGCGACUUCUCCACCCUGGGUUAAGCUCGACCUCCUCAUUCAUGGUUGAUGACGCCAAACAACGUAAGCUACCCGGACUCUGCUGGAUUAACCAGGACCAGCUGCCUCCUGAUUAUGCAGUAAGAACCUCAGCAUUUACCUUCAGCUCCACAAACCUUCC
Molecule: long non-coding RNA, 298 nt
Organism: Notolabrus celidotus (New Zealand spotty)
Lineage: Eukaryota; Metazoa; Chordata; Actinopteri; Labriformes; Labridae
Exons: 3
Source: RefSeq, a predicted model, not a curated record